AAUUAGCCCCGAUAGAAGCGACAUCCUUUUUCUUUUUUUGAUAAAAAAGAAAAAGAUAUAGCGGAUAGCGGGAUUAAGC
RNAcentral lists this small RNA (79 nucleotides) under Epilithonimonas hominis. RNAcentral's name for it is "Chryseobacterium hominis Flavo-1 RNA". It matches the Rfam family "Flavo-1 RNA". The record is from RNAcentral. Lineage: Bacteria; Pseudomonadati; Bacteroidota; Flavobacteriia; Flavobacteriales; Weeksellaceae.